GCGGCCCAUUACGUUUCUAAGGGCCGCAUUGCCACGCCUCAUCGGAGGAGAUUCUGCCCACAAAGUAAUCAACGGCGCCCAAUAAAAUCACCCACAAGGAAAAGAUCUUGUGCUGCUUCAAGAACUUGGCUACUGCCUGUUCCCAUGGAGAAUGAGGAGAGUCUCCCCUAUGGAGUCAGUGCCUGGCUAUGCGAACCAGGAAGACAAAGAGAUUGUGGAAUUUGCUGUCAGACUCGCCAUCAAGGCCUCUCUCACAUCAGAGAUGGAUGACACUCUCUAAACAUCCAGUUGUGGAAUUUGCUGUCAGACUCGCCAUCAAGGCCUCUCUCACAUCAGAGAUGGAUGACACUCUCUAAACAUCCAGGGCUUAUCAGCGAUUGCAGCAUUUGGAGGGUUUCACAGACUUGAGCAACCUAACUUCUGCAAGAUGUUACCAUCAGUGUCUUGGGGACCCUUUAUGAUGCAAUUGAAGUUGGAACAGAGAGUUGAGAAUAUCAAGGAGUGCUGCAUCUCAUGCUUACAAGGAACUUGUGGAAUUUGCUGUCAGACUCACCUUCAAGGCCUCUCUCACAUCAGAGAUGGAUGACACUCUCUAAACAUCCAGGGCUUAUCAGCGAUUGCAGCAUUUGGAGGGUUUCACAGACUUGAGCAACCUAACUUCUGCAAGAUGUUACCAUCAGUGUCUUGGGGACCCUUUAUGAUGCAAUUGAAGUUGGAACAGAGAGUUGAGAA
This is a long non-coding RNA of Haliotis rufescens (red abalone), 732 nucleotides long. RefSeq lists it as uncharacterized. The record is from RefSeq and is a predicted model, not a curated record. The transcript has 7 exons. Lineage: Eukaryota; Metazoa; Mollusca; Gastropoda; Lepetellida; Haliotidae.